UACGGGGGGGACAAGCGUUGUUCGGAUUUACUGGGCGUAAAGGGCGCGCAGGCGGGCCAUCAAGUCGGAUGUGAAACCGGUCGGCUUAACCGAUCGCCUGCAUCCGAUACUGUUGGUCUUGAGUACGGGAGAGGAGAGUGGAAUUCCAGGUGUAGCGGUGAAAUGCGUAGAUAUCUGGAAGAACACCGGUUGCGAAGGCGGCUCUCUGGACCGAUACUGACGCUCAAGCGCGAAGGCUUGGGGAGCAAACAGG
This 253-nucleotide ribosomal RNA is filed under the name uncultured bacterium. Its description in RNAcentral is "partial 16S ribosomal RNA". It matches the Rfam family "Bacterial small subunit ribosomal RNA", at positions 524 to 776 of the family's 1533-position model. The record is from RNAcentral.